Molecule: long non-coding RNA, 1272 nt
Organism: Lagopus leucura (white-tailed ptarmigan)
Lineage: Eukaryota; Metazoa; Chordata; Aves; Galliformes; Phasianidae
Exons: 4
Source: RefSeq, a predicted model, not a curated record
GUUAAAAGUAAAGGUCUGCGCUCUCCUGUGACCAUGUCGGCAGUAGAAGCUCUUAUGGCUUCUAGCCUCCUGCCGUAUGAUGUGAUCAACCUUAUGUGUGUCAUCCUUGAACCUGUACAAUAUGCCCUGUGAUAUGAUGAGUGCAAUCGGCCACUUCACCAUUCCACACGUGCCUUAUAGGGGUACCUUUGAAUUUUUCUACUGAUAGGUUGCUGUUUUUGGGAUAUGUAGAUAACAUAACUGCUUGCGAAAAGUACUUUACUUCAGGUGCUAAUAUUUCGGCUUGCCUGAUCCGCAUGCUGAAUACAUCACUUUCGUGGGACCCCCCUGAAUUGCUGCUUAUGGGUUCUCAGAGCGUAGGUAAUAAUUCAGAGGGAUGCAUAUGUUUUGAACAAUUUGCCUUACAAGGAUCGCUUUCCCAACGUGGGAUUGCGCAGGAUCUCCUUAAGAGGGGUAGGCCUUUGUUGUGGGACUCCAGCCGUAAUAGAACCAUCCCACACACGCUUGUUAACCCGCUGAACAGUGCGGUGUUCAGGUGGUCUGGCCCGUACUGUGGGUACGUGGUAAAUCGUACUCGGCAGUGGUAUCAUCUCAAAACCGCGAAUGGGUGGAAAGGUUCCCUGUGUAACAAUUGUACAUUGCCAGAGCAGUGGUGCAAUAUCACCACGAGUGACUGUUGCUGCAACAUCACACAAUCUUGGCCGCAGGAUAGGCUCAGUACUACCUGCCAGAUGGAAGCACUAUUCAGAUCGGCUCUGCCCGCUUUCGUGCCCCGGAGCUCUUGUUCCGGCCAGACCUGAUAGGGGAAGAAUGUGAAGGACUCCACGAGGUGCUCGUUUUUGCCAUUCAAAAAUCAGACGUGGGUUUGAGGCGAACACUUUUCUCCAACAUUGUGCUGUCUGGUGGCUCCACACUUUUCAAAGAUAUCAGCUCCUCAGGAGAGAUUGUAUUCUACGUGGAUUGGUGGCUCUAUUCUGGCCUCGCUGGAUACUUUUAAGAAAAUGUGGGUUUCAAAAAAGGCAUAUGAAGAAGAUGGAGCUCGUGCCAUCCACCGAAAAACCUUCUAGCCCUGGGACCUAUCCUCAGUCUCCUCUGAAGACUCACUUCAGUUCUAAACUCGCUUUUCUGAGUCCGAGAGUCUGAGAGCUGCCUGUAUGUGUGUGUGUGCGCCAGCAUGCCCCGACGUCACUGAGCAAAGACAACAGCAGCAGGAGGGUUGGAUUAGUACUAACUACUUAUUUUUGUUGUUGUUGUUGUUAUUUUUUUAAUGGA